GCCCGGGUGCUGUAACCGGUAGCCAGAAUUGACUUAAAAUCAAUUGGGAUUUUUCCCGUGUGGGUUCGAGUCCCACCCCGGGCA
Molecule: transfer RNA, 84 nt
Filed under: Candidatus Wildermuthbacteria bacterium RIFCSPHIGHO2_01_FULL_47_27
Lineage: Bacteria; Candidatus Wildermuthiibacteriota
Also listed under: 1 other name
Description: tRNA-Leu
Rfam family: tRNA
About the family: Transfer RNA (tRNA) molecules are approximately 80 nucleotides in length. Their secondary structure includes four short double-helical elements and three loops (D, anti-codon, and T loops).
Source: RNAcentral